UACGAGGGGGGCGAGCGUUGUUCGGAAUUAUUGGGCGUAAAGGGUGCGUAGGCGGUUUGGUAAGUCUCGUGUGAAAUCUACAGGCUCAACUUGUAGUCUGCACGAGAAACUGCCGGGCUUGAGUAUGGGAGAGGUGAGUGGAAUUCCUGGUGUAGAGGUGAAAUUCGUAGAUAUCGGGAGGAACACCAGUGGCGAAGGCGGCGACCUGGACGGACACUGACGCUGAGACGCGAAAGCGUGGGGAGCAAACAGG
Molecule: ribosomal RNA, 253 nt
Filed under: uncultured bacterium
Lineage: Bacteria
Description: partial 16S ribosomal RNA
Rfam family: Bacterial small subunit ribosomal RNA
Source: RNAcentral